RNAcentral lists this long non-coding RNA (618 nucleotides) under Homo sapiens (human). RNAcentral's name for it is "non-protein coding lnc-OR8J3-3:1". Lineage: Eukaryota; Metazoa; Chordata; Mammalia; Primates; Hominidae. The record is from RNAcentral.
UUAGUGCUUUGUUCUAAUGUUUUGUAUCACUUUAUUUUAGUAAAAAUUGAGUAAGCAAAAAAUAUACUGGGUUCUGACUAUCUUUGGCUUUUUAGAGGCAUUCAUUGCCAUGAAUAAAUUAUAAAAGUUAUAUAGUUCUCUAAUAUGUUUAUAUUUUAUAAUAUGAAUAUUUAGUUCUCUAAUAUGUUUAUAUUUUAUAAUAUGAAUAUUUCUGUACAUUAUUUCCUAAAAUGUAUUUUUUUCUUUUGUAUCUGUUGUCUUUAGCUAUUAAUUUUUGAUAGUUUUUCUACCCAUCCUCCUCUUCCCCUACUUUAAGAGGCAGAUAUCUGUGCAAAUUCCUAGCCAUGCUACACUAAUACUACAGCUUCCUGAUGACACUUUUACAUUAUCCUCAACUUUUGCCUCUCUUAUUGACCCUCUGUAUCAUCGAUGCUCUAUGGAAGACUGUUCCUUAUGUACUUAAUGCUCAGAAAAUUCUCUUGACACAGACAGGAUGGCCUCUGUCUUCUACACAGUAGUCAUUCCCAUGUUAAACCCAUUGAUCUGGAGCCCCAGGAACAAGGAUGUGACAUUGCCCUGAGGAAAGUCAUGGUCAAUAGAAAACAGGCAUUAUUUUGC